RNAcentral lists this transfer RNA (70 nucleotides) under Camelus bactrianus (Bactrian camel). It matches the Rfam family "tRNA". From Rfam's summary of the family: Transfer RNA (tRNA) molecules are approximately 80 nucleotides in length. The record is from Rfam by way of RNAcentral. RNAcentral also lists the same sequence under 2 other names. Lineage: Eukaryota; Metazoa; Chordata; Mammalia; Artiodactyla; Camelidae.
GAGGGUAUAGCUCAGUGGUAGAGUGAGUGCUUAGCAUGCAUGAGAUUGGGUUCAAUCCCCAGUGCCUUCA